CCUACGGGCGGCAGCAGUGGGGAAUAUUGGGCAAUGGGCGCAAGCCUGACGCAGCAACGCCGCGUGAAGGAAGAAGGCUUUCGGGUUGUAAACUUCUUUUCUCAGGGACGAAGAAAGUGACGGUACCUGAGGAAUAAGCCACGGCUAACUACGUGCCAGCAGCCGCGGUACUACGUAGGUGGCAAGCGUUAUCCGGAUUUAUUGGGUGUAAAGGGCGUGUAGGCGGGAGCGCAAGUCAGAUGUGAAAACUCAGGGCUUAACCCUGGGCCUGCAUUUGAUACUGUGUUUCUUGAGUGCGGGAGAGGUAAGCGGAAUUCCGGGUGUAGCGGUGAAAUGCGUAGAUAUAAGGAGGAACACCAGUGGCGAAGGCGGAUUGCUGGACAGUAACUGACGCUGAGGCGCGAAAGCGUGGGGAGCAAACAGGAUUAGAUACCCGUGUAGUC
RNAcentral lists this ribosomal RNA (443 nucleotides) under uncultured bacterium. RNAcentral's name for it is "partial 16S ribosomal RNA". It matches the Rfam family "Bacterial small subunit ribosomal RNA", at positions 338 to 795 of the family's 1533-position model. The record is from RNAcentral.